AUUGAACGCUGGCGGCAGGCCUAACACAUGCAAGUCGAGCGGCAGCGGGAAAGUAGCUUGCUACUUUUGCCGGCGAGCGGCGGACGGGUGAGUAAUGCCUGGGGAUCUGCUCAGUCGAGGGGGAUAACUACUGGAAACGGUAGCUAAUACCGCAUACGCCCUACGGGGGAAAGCAGGGGACCUUCGGGCCUUGCGCGAUUGGAUGAACCCAGGUGGAAUUAGCUAGUUGGUGAGGUAACGGCUCACCAAGGCGACGAUCCCUAGCUGGUCUGGGAGGAUGAUCAGCCACACUGGAACUGAGACACGGUCCAGACUCCUACGGGAGGCAGCAGUGGGGAAUAUUGCACAAUGGGGAAAACCCUGAUGCAGCCAUGCCGCGUGUGUGAAGAAGGCCUUCGGGUUGUAAAGCACUUUCAGCGAGGAGGAAAGGUCAGUAGCUAAUAUCUGCUGGCUGUGACGUUACUCGCAGAAGAAGCACCGGCUAACUCCGUGCCAGCCGCCGCUGUAA
Molecule: ribosomal RNA, 508 nt
Filed under: uncultured bacterium
Lineage: Bacteria
Description: partial 16S ribosomal RNA
Rfam family: Bacterial small subunit ribosomal RNA
Source: RNAcentral